This 3638-nucleotide long non-coding RNA is filed under the name Olea europaea subsp. europaea. Lineage: Eukaryota; Viridiplantae; Streptophyta; Magnoliopsida; Lamiales; Oleaceae. The record is from RNAcentral.
UAUAAUUAUGCACGUCUAAUGAUUUUCUUUUAAUUCAAAAAUUAAUUUUUUUCUUCGGAUUUUAAGAACAUUCAUGGAAAUUAUUUCUUCGAGUUAGUGACGGACAUGGUAAGACCAAAUGUUAUUCAGAUUAUCGAUCGAUUUUCAAUUGCUUCAUGGAACUCCAGCAUAAGAGAAGCAGUCAAUCAAGGCCAUGCCCAGAAGGCUCUUAUUCUUUUUCGCCAAUUGAAACGAAACUCUUAUGUACAGCCCAACAAUUUAACUUUCCCAUUUAUUGCAAAAGCUUGUGCAAAGCUCUCAAAGCUGAAGUACUCCCAGAUGAUUCAUGCUAAUGUUGCAAAAUCGCCAUUUUGUUCAGAUGUUUAUGUACAAACAGCUUUGGUCGACAUGUAUGUAAAAUGCAGUAGCUUAGAUCAUGCAUUUGAUCUGUUUGAUAACAUGGCUGAAAGAGAUUUAGCAGCGUGGAAUGUGAUCAUUAUGGGUUUUGCUCAGUUGGGUUUUUUGGAUAGAGUUUCAUGUUUGUUUAAGGGGUUGAGGAUGGAUAACAUCAUGCCUGAUGCAGUAACGAUCAUGGGGUUGACACAAUUGGUGUCUGGGUUAAAGGAUACGAGGUUAUUGAGCUCUGUACAUUGCUUUGGGAUGAAAUGUGGGUGUGCAGGGGAUGUUACCGUUACCAAUACUUGGAUUGCUGGCUAUGCCAAGUGUGGUGACCUGUUCUCGGCUGAGAUGGUGUUUUGUGGUAUUGGCAUCGAUGCUUUGACUGUGGUUUCUUGGAAUGCUAUGAUUGUGGGAUGUGCAUGUGUUGAGGAACCGGUGAAGGCUCUUGGGGUGUACCAACAUAUGCUUCUCGACGGAUUUAGGCCUGAUUUGUGUACCAUUCUUAAUCUGCUCUCCUCAUGUACUCAGCCUGAUUCUUUAUUUUAUGGUAUGCUAAUUCAUGCUCAAGGAAUAAAAGUGGGUUGUAAUGAGAAUAUUGCUGUUCUUAAUACUCUUAUUUCCAUGUAUUCCAAGUGUGGAAAUGUUGACAUGGGAAGAAGUGUAUCUAGUAGCAUGACUGAGAGAACACCAGUUUCAUGGACUGCUAUGAUUGGAGGGUAUUCUGCAAAAGGUGAUUUGGAGGAGGCAUUAUCUAUGUUCCAUGCUAUGGAGGCUUCUGGCGAGACACCUGAUUUUGUUACCAUGAUCCAUUUGAUUUCAGCAUGCGGCCAAAUUGGAGCACUUGAGGUUGGAAAAUGGAUUGAUAAUUACACCAUUUUGAAGGGAUUGAAAAGCAAUGUGAUGGUAUGUAAUGCAUUGCUAGACAUGUACGCAAAAUGUGGAAGUUUAAGAGAUGCUCAGGAACUCUUCGGUACUAUGCAAGGGAAGACUGUGGUCUCUUGGACAACUAUGAUAGCAGGAUAUGCACUAAAUGGAAAAACACAAGCAGCUUUAGAUUAUUUUCAUCGAAUGUUAAAGUUGGGUUUGAAACCAAAUAACGUAACUUUCCUUGCUGUUCUUCAAGCAUGUACUCAUGCGGGUCUGUUGAAUGAAGGGCAGGGAAUUUUUGAUAUGAUGAUUAAAGUGUAUAGAAUAAAUCCCGGACUAGACCAUUAUGCUUGCAUGACUGAUCUCCUUGGACGCCAAGGAAGACUGAAAGAAGCGUUGAACUUUAUUGAAGAUAUGCCUAUCAAACCAGAUGCUGGAAUUUGGGGUGCUUUCCUUUUUGCUUGCAAGAUCCAUCACAACCUAGAGCUUGGCGUGUAUGCUACACAUCGACUUUUGCAACUUGAAUCACAGGCUGCAGCUCCUUAUGUUGAAAUGGCAAAUAUAUACGCAUCAGCAGAAGAUUGGGAUGGGGUUGCUGCAAUGUGGAUGAAAAUGAAACGCAAGCAAGUGACAAAAUCCCCGGGGCAAAGUGCAAUACUGGUGAAUGGAAAACGUUAUUGUUUUACUGUAGAAGAUAGAAACCAUUCUCAGGGCUCUCAAACGUUUGAAACAUUGGAUAGCUUAGUUUCACAGUUGAAAGAUGAAGUACAUUUAUUUUGUACUCCGGAACUUGUGGAUUCAUCAAUUGGCCAUGAGAAAACCACAUAAGAAAACUGGAUUGCAGAGAAUUUUGAAACCGUACGAGAGCUAGAUGGAGUAUCAAUCAGAAUCAGGACGGUAACACUAUUGCAAUGAUUAUGCUGAUGCACUCCUGUAAACUACUAAAGAUUUCAAUAUGCUAACCUAUACUCCAUGACAAAGAUAUUCCAGCCUCAGGGGCUGGAGAUUACAUUGCAGCCAUACUUUAUCAGUCUAGGACAGCCUCGUGUGAUUUAUAACUAAAUUUUAUGAUGUCACUUACCAUAAGAAGCAAGAAGGAGAAGAUUGAUAGUUUUUGUGGUUUUUAAUUAUUACGGCCACUUUGAAAGCAAUUACAUUGCCAUACAAUAAUGAAUUGAAAAAGUAAAAAAAACUUUGAAGUACAAGGUCAUACAACGAUCUAUCAUUCAAAUGCUGCUUUUAGCUAUACCUGGUUAUGAUUUUAGUAUAAAAUGGCUAUAAAAGAUGAGUUUCAUGCGUGGUUCACCUCAAGUUGUAACUCAAAUAGGAGGUUUGGGCCGAUACAUGACAGUUCAACGUUUUCUUUAGUUGCAUUCACUGUAUUUCCACCUAAUGUUUAACGGCUGCUUUAACUUAGUGAUUUAGUCUAUCAAUUCCUACAUUUUGUCAUUGGUUUUUGAUGGCUGGCAAAUUUUUGAUGUUUGAGCACAGGUAAUAGAAGCAUUUUAGUGCCAUUACUGAUUUCUUACUGGAACAAAUGGCCCCAUUGUGAAUCUCAACGUCUUUGAACCAGAAACAGAAGCUGUAGCUUGUAUAUAUAUACAGACAGCCAAUUUUGGACAGCAAAUCUUAACUGGACAACCCACUAUGGGAGUGGUUGGGAGACGCAAUUAGGUGACAGAAUUGCACCCUUUUUUUUUUUUUUUUUCCUGUAACUAAAGACAGCUAAAGCUCACAUUUGGGUGGCGACAGAUGUAUUGUUUGAUCUUGAUUUAGUUGAUAUAUGAAAAUGUAACACACUCAAUGGAAUUGGAGGCUAUAUGAAAAUUGUGUCUUACAACUGGGCUAUAAGGUUAAUCCUAUAUGAACAACAUUUUUCAAUUGCUACACAGGAGAAAAGAUCAGAAAUUUUAUCAGAUGAAGAACAAAGAGAACACUCUGAAUCUCCUUGCCGCAAGAUUACAAGUCGAAGAAGUGCAAUGCCAUUACUCCUAAUAAACCAAAAAGGAUAUAUCUAUUCUAUUUGUUCCAAUCCAAAUUAUUUAUUGGCUUUGUAGACAUANNNNNNNNNNNNNAUACAGAUUACGAAUAGUCCUGUAUCUGCGUCUCUUUGGGUUGCAAUUGAUCACACAAUCUUGCAUGAUUUUCUUUGAUGAAGUGAUUUGAACACCAUUUGUAUUACCAUAAUUAUAUUUCCUCUUGUUGGAGGUUGAAUUCGUUAUAUUGCUCUUGUCAUCCUCUUCAUCUCCAAAUAUAUGUAUAAGCUGCUCCGCCACCCCUGCCGCCUUAUCUACCUCUGACAAGCUCCCUUGCCCAGAUGGCGAUGUUGAACAAGCCAUGAAAAAUAUGCAGAAAUGAAGAAAGAACUCUGUAAGUCUCUCUUUCUCUCCGUG